AUGUGGCUCGCAUUUCUCGAGCCGGUGCUCGACCAAAACGUGUACUUCAUGGGCGCGAAGCUGACCUCGGCGGCGUUCGCGACGGCGCUCCUCAACACCCUCCCGGCCGUCACCUUCAUGUUGGCCCUCAUCCUGCGCAUGGAGAAGGUGCGGCUGCGGAGCCUGCACAGCCAGGCCAAGAUCGCCGGCACGGUCCUCACGGUGGCCGGUGCCGUGCUGAUGGUCCUGUACCAUGGCCCUGCCGUGCGGUUCCCGUGGACUAAGGCCCAUCACCACGCCACCAUUGGUGGCCAGGCCGCCGCCGCGCGGGACUGGCUGAUCGGGACCAUAAUGCUCAUCGCCUCCUGCAUGAUCUGGCCGGGCUUUUUCAUCCUCCAGGCCAACACGCUGGGGAGCUACCCGGCGGAGCUGUCUCUCACGGCGCUCAUCUGCGGCAUGGGCUCGCUGAUGAGCGGCGCCGUCGCCCUCGUUGCUGAGCGCGCCAACACCCAGGUCUGGGUUAUCGGCUUCGAUAACCGCCUCUUCACCGUCGUCUACGGCGGCAUAGUGUGCUCCGGCGUGGCGUACUACUUGCAGGGCGUCGUGUCAAGGCAAAGGGGCCCGGUGUUCGUGACGGCCUUCAGCCCGCUCAGCAUGGUCAUAACCGCCGUCAUGGGCUCCAUCGUUCUCAAGGAGGAGAUCACUCUCGGAAGUGUAAUUGGUGCAGUGAUCAUCGUGACAGGCCUCUACUUUAUCAUCUGGGGCAAGAGCAAGGACGAGAUCAGCUGCCCCAGUCAAGUUUCCGACGUCAGCGUCAAGGGAGCCAGUGAACUGCCCUUAACCUCGGUGACAAGCGGCCACGGCCACGGCAAGCAGUACGAGCUCGACAACGGCAACGGCGGCCAUGUCGACGUCGAGACGCCGACGACCAAUGGGCACUAG
Molecule: ribosomal RNA, 921 nt
Filed under: Triticum aestivum (bread wheat)
Lineage: Eukaryota; Viridiplantae; Streptophyta; Magnoliopsida; Poales; Poaceae
Description: partial small subunit ribosomal RNA
Source: RNAcentral